CUACACCCUCGCCAAGAAACCUUGCCGCUCCGAUCGCGCCACUUCCUUCCCGAUCGACUCGAUCGACAUAUCCCGCCUCUCCCUCAUCGACGACGACGGCAAGUCCAUCCCUCAUCCUCCCUCCUCCUCCGCCGCCGUCAGCCCUUACCUCCGCGGUCCCCUCGGUAUCCUCGCCCGAAAGCGUCCCCGUCGCCGCGGAGCCUCCCGCUCCGUCUCCGGUCGUAGCUCUGAUCGCAGCGCCAAUCGCCG
This 249-nucleotide long non-coding RNA is filed under the name Linum usitatissimum (flax). Its description in RNAcentral is "long non-coding RNA (LUSI_LNC000547)". The record is from RNAcentral. Lineage: Eukaryota; Viridiplantae; Streptophyta; Magnoliopsida; Malpighiales; Linaceae.